GUGCUUCCAUGUUUAUUGAUCCAUAGUUAACAAUUUCAGUACUCAAGAGGCAUUUGUGACAUGGGCUACAGUUAUAACUUAUAAUGCCACUGUCAUCUCCAAGACUAGCUCCAAAGUUUUAAUAAGGUGUUCUAGCUAUCUAAAUCAUCCAGCAUGUGCGUCAAAAAUGGAGACACGCACCUAUACCCUUGCCGAUUCAAUAAUAUCUUAUAAGAUUCAACCGAACUAGGAUCUACUGAAACUGGGAACUUAUUGUAGUGUCCUUACCAGAAUAAAAUUUAAAAUAUCCAUGGUUCUAGACUUCUAGUCCAACUUUUUAAUCUGCUGCUCUAUAUUUAUCUGUGCUGACUACACUGCAAAGACAGAAAAAGGGCCAAGCUUUUGACGUGAUACUGCUUUUAUGCCAGCUCUACAUUGUGUAGUGAAUUCCUGAGCAAGAACCUCGCUAUGUCAUGCCUGCAUGUGUGCCCAGGGAAGAGGGCAAGCUUCUGCAACCAAAGAAGCACCGCAAAUGAGGAGAGAACUUGCUACAGGAGAGGGCACAACGGCUUUACCGCAACACAAAAUUAAUAUUUUCAGGUACAAGAAGAUUAGAUGCCAGGAAAUCAACAUCUUGGUUACCAUAAACAGUUUCAGCAAUGGUGAAAAGCAGCUCCAACCCCUUUGAGGCACCACUGCACUGCACCGCAUGGUGUUUCUGGAACAGAUCAACAAUGGCAAGAGUCAAGAGAGCAGUAGCCAAGCGAAGAAGCUUAUAUAAGUUUUUGAAUCCUAUAGAAUGAACAACAUUUCUGCAUUAGGUAUGACCUGUUAGUUUUCCUCAAUGAUGACCACCGCCCACCAGCCGGAAAACUAGUUUGGAACAGAGCAACAAAAAUACCACAGAAGAAUGGAUUCGGUAGUGUAAAGUGGAAUAUCACUCUUCAAUUUUCCUUGGACCUGUGAUGAGGCAAAACCAUGAAAGUGAGCAAGACAGAUAUAACAGAGAAAGUACUUCCUCUGAGCUAGUAUCAGACUGAAAAACUGAUAGAACUUCCUUAAGUAAAAUUACCCCCUCCCUCCCCACCCACCACCAC
RNAcentral lists this long non-coding RNA (1076 nucleotides) under Sorghum bicolor (sorghum). RNAcentral's name for it is "long non-coding RNA (SBIC_LNC009787)". Lineage: Eukaryota; Viridiplantae; Streptophyta; Magnoliopsida; Poales; Poaceae. The record is from RNAcentral.